RNAcentral lists this ribosomal RNA (880 nucleotides) under Usnea glabrescens. RNAcentral describes it as "eukaryotic LSU rRNA". It matches the Rfam family "Eukaryotic large subunit ribosomal RNA", at positions 71 to 968 of the family's 3401-position model. The record is from RNAcentral. Lineage: Eukaryota; Fungi; Ascomycota; Lecanoromycetes; Lecanorales; Parmeliaceae.
GGGAUUGCCUCAGUAACGGCGAGUGAAGCGGCAACAGCUCAAAUUUGAAAUCUGGCCCCGUCGGGGUCCGAGUUGUAAUUUGUAGAGAGUGUUUCGGGUGAGACCACGGUCUAAGUCUAUUGGAACAUGGCGUCAUAGAGGGUGAGAAUCCCGUAUGUGACCGUGGCUCGAGCCCAUGUGAAGCCUCUUCGACGAGUCGAGUUGUUUGGGAAUGCAGCUCAAAAUGGGUGGUAAAUUUCAUCUAAAGCUAAAUACCGGCUGGAGACCGAUAGCGCACAAGUAGAGUGAUCGAAAGAUGAAAAGCACUUUGGAAAGAGAGUCAAAAAGUACGUGAAAUUGUUGAAAGGGAAGCGCUUGCAACCAGACCUGUCCGUAGGUGAUCAGCCGCUGUUCUCAGUGGUGCACUCGCUCUGCGAUCAGGCCAGCAUCGGUUCCGGCGGUCGGAUAAAGGCCCUGGGAAUGUAGCUCCCUUCGGGGAGUCUUAUAGCCCUCGGUGCAAUGCGGCCAGCCGGGACCGAGGACCGCGCUUCGGCUAGGAUGCUGGCGUAAUGGUUGUAAGCGACCCGUCUUGAAACACGGACCAAGGAGUCUAACAUCUAUGCGAGUGUUUGGGUGUCAAACCCAUGCGCGGAAUGAAAGUGAACGGAGGUGAGAACCCUUUAGGGCGCAUCAUCGACCGAUCCAGAUGUCUUCGGAUGGAUUUGAGUAUGAGCAUAGCUGUUGGGACCCGAAAGAUGGUGAACUAUGCCUGAAUAGGGUGAAGCCAGAGGAAACUCUGGUGGAGGCUCGCAGCGGUUCUGACGUGCAAAUCGAUCGUCAAAUUUGGGUAUAGGGGCGAAAGACUAAUCGAACCAUCUAGUAGCUGGUUCCUGCCGAAGUU